UAAUUGUCAAUUGAUUAACCUAUUGAAAUGGAGGAAGAAUUCCCUCUACGUAGUUUCGUUGCCUUUUAACCUGAAGGAUACUUCGCACGACAGCAAGCUUUAAGGCUUUAUUCUUACAGAACCAUCCUAAAAGCGCUCUUGUGCUCUACAAGGAAGAUUGCAACGUUCUCAAUUCCAAGUCGGAACCAGUUGAGUGCAGCUACUUUCAUAAGAGGAAGCACAGGGGAAAAAGAAAGCAAGCAAGUAGUGUACCUCCACCAGGGAGCACGGUGGAGGCACAGGGCUUGUUGGGGACCCGUCAUGAAGCUUGACUCCUUCUGCUCACACAGGGCUCAGCUCAAGGCUUGUGGAUACCCAUUCUAUCUCCCUAGGGGACACCAGCCCAAAUCCUAGUCAAUGAGGCCUAUUCCAAUAGCCAACGAGGCCUACUCCAGUGAGUCUCAGGCUUCAGACUUGCACGGCUCUGCUGAGGACCUCAUUUUUCCAUGGGUGGCCAUGGCACAUCUGUUAAUGGCAACUUGAACACGUCCACAGCAGUUAAGCAGUUUCACUUUCAGGCUCAGAUGUUGGUGUUCAAAGACUUUGUUCUUAUUCCGAUGACUGAUAGAGGACCUCUGUUUGGGUUGAUGCUGUAGUCUUUUAAGUAUGCUUUCCAGAAAGCUGUAAGUCUCUAUUUUGAGAGCAGAGCAGAGAUCCUUCUGUUGAACCCAUCGUAUAUAUUCAAGAAGACAACACUUUGGUGGACAUCAACACAUUGAGUUCCUGCUUCCCAGGCAAGGAGGAUGCUUGUGGCAGCUGACAAAGGCAUGGGCAGUGCUGGUGCUGCAAGCCAUGAAUGAGACAAGGUAUCCCAGAAUACCCCGGACAUCGGGCCAUACUUCCUGCUGGCUGGGAAGGACAAAAGGACAAAGCUGAAGGAGUGCCGGGGUCCCACCACCAGCUCUUGGAGGCACCAGUCUGCUACCAACAGCACUCCAACCCUCGGAGAAUGCUAAUAAGCCACUGAAGAGCUCAGCUUUCCUGCCAUAAUUCUAUAGCGCCGUCGAGGACCCCAUAGUGUUCGCUAAAUAAAGACAACUAAUUGAGAAUUUUUUGCA
Lagopus leucura (white-tailed ptarmigan) is the source of this 1097-nucleotide long non-coding RNA. RefSeq lists it as uncharacterized. The record is from RefSeq and is a predicted model, not a curated record. Lineage: Eukaryota; Metazoa; Chordata; Aves; Galliformes; Phasianidae. The transcript has 5 exons.